RNAcentral lists this ribosomal RNA (1547 nucleotides) under Escherichia coli. Its description in RNAcentral is "partial 23S ribosomal RNA". It matches the Rfam family "Bacterial large subunit ribosomal RNA", at positions 1 to 1583 of the family's 2925-position model. Lineage: Bacteria; Pseudomonadati; Pseudomonadota; Gammaproteobacteria; Enterobacterales; Enterobacteriaceae. The record is from RNAcentral.
GGGUUGUGAGGUUAAGCGACUAAGCGUACACGGUGGAUGCCCUGGCAGUCAGAGGCGAUGAAGGACGUGCUAAUCUGCGAUAAGCGUCGGUAAGGUGAUAUGAACCGUUAUAACCGGCGAUUUCCGAAUGGGGAAACCCAGUGUGUUUCGACACACUAUCAUUAACUGAAUCCAUAGGUUAAUGAGGCGAACCGGGGGAACUGAAACAUCUAAGUACCCCGAGGAAAAGAAAUCAACCGAGAUUCCCCCAGUAGCGGCGAGCGAACGGGGAGCAGCCCAGAGCCUGAAUCAGUGUGUGUGUUAGUGGAAGCGUCUGGAAAGGCGCGCGAUACAGGGUGACAGCCCCGUACACAAAAAUGCACAUACUGUGAGCUCGAUGAGUAGGGCGGGACACGUGGUAUCCUGUCUGAAUAUGGGGGGACCAUCCUCCAAGGCUAAAUACUCCUGACUGACCGAUAGUGAACCAGUACCGUGAGGGAAAGGCGAAAAGAACCCCGGCGAGGGGAGUGAAAAAGAACCUGAAACCGUGUACGUACAAGCAGUGGGAGCACGCUUCGGCGUGUGACUGCGUACCUUUUGUAUAAUGGGUCAGCGACUUAUAUUCUGUAGCAAGGUUAACCGAAUAGGGGAGCCGAAGGGAAACCGAGUCUUAACUGGGCGUUAAGUUGCAGGGUAUAGACCCGAAACCCGGUGAUCUAGCCAUGGGCAGGUUGAAGGUUGGGUAACACUAACUGGAGGACCGAACCGACUAAUGUUGAAAAAUUAGCGGAUGACUUGUGGCUGGGGGUGAAAGGCCAAUCAAACCGGGAGAUAGCUGGUUCUCCCCGAAAGCUAUUUAGGUAGCGCCUCGUGAAUUCAUCUCCGGGGGUAGAGCACUGUUUCGGCAAGGGGGUCAUCCCGACUUACCAACCCGAUGCAAACUGCGAAUACCGGAGAAUGUUAUCACGGGAGACACACGGCGGGUGCUAACGUCCGUCGUGAAGAGGGAAACAACCCAGACCGCCAGCUAAGGUCCCAAAGUCAUGGUUAAGUGGGAAACGAUGUGGGAAGGCCCAGACAGCCAGGAUGUUGGCUUAGAAGCAGCCAUCAUUUAAAGAAAGCGUAAUAGCUCACUGGUCGAGUCGGCCUGCGCGGAAGAUGUAACGGGGCUAAACCAUGCACCGAAGCUGCGGCAGCGACACUAUGUGUUGUUGGGUAGGGGAGCGUUCUGUAAGCCUGUGAAGGUGUACUGUGAGGUAUGCUGGAGGUAUCAGAAGUGCGAAUGCUGACAUAAGUAACGAUAAAGCGGGUGAAAAGCCCGCUCGCCGGAAGACCAAGGGUUCCUGUCCAACGUUAAUCGGGGCAGGGUGAGUCGACCCCUAAGGCGAGGCCGAAAGGCGUAGUCGAUGGGAAACAGGUUAAUAUUCCUGUACUUGGUGUUACUGCGAAGGGGGGACGGAGAAGGCUAUGUUGGCCGGGCGACGGUUGUCCCGGUUUAAGCGUGUAGGCUGGUUUUCCAGGCAAAUCCGGAAAAUCAAGGCUGAGGCGUGAUGACGAGGCACUACGGU